Molecule: long non-coding RNA, 597 nt
Organism: Cebus imitator (Panamanian white-faced capuchin)
Lineage: Eukaryota; Metazoa; Chordata; Mammalia; Primates; Cebidae
Exons: 3
Source: RefSeq, a predicted model, not a curated record
AACUGCAAGGAACUGGAUUAUGCAAACAAUCAUAUGAGCUCGAAAGUGAAUUCUUCCCAGACCCUUCCAAUAAGAGCCCAGCUGAAAUCAAGACAGCUUGAUUUCAGCUUUGUAAAACUCAGAGCAGAGAAACAAGCUGAGCCCACCUGGACUUCUGACCCACAGAACUAGUAAGAAGGAGUCCACAAGCCGAGGCUGGACCAAUUGUUGGAAGUCAGAGUCCUGGAGGCCUUCAGGACAGACCCCAGCCAAUCUACGCAGAGCAGCCUGGGGAGAAGACAGAAGAUGUGACACAUGUCAGACUGGGCCAUGUCAGGGAAUGGCAAGAAGUUGGAGGGCUAUUUCCCACCAAAGAACAGAAGUAUGGCUUCCUGCCUGGAAUAUAUCUGCUGAAUCUCAGAGUGGACUCUACAAUGCAUCUUCAUCAGGAUGAAAUAAAUGGAAGACUCCUUGGCUCCAGGGAGAAACUCAGCCUGGGAAGUGAAGCAAGAAUGAAUAUAUGACAAUAGUGAAAGGUCACUUGGACUAUAUGUACUUUGUUUAUUUGAUAAUGUUUAUACAUUGAGAAAUUUUCUAUAAAAUUUACAAAUUUUGUCU